AUGAGGAUUGCGAUCGUGACCUGCAUGCAUAACGUGGAUUAUCACGAUGAAACCUGAUGAAUGGGCAGUAACUAGUUUGAGUGAAUUGCUGAGCUUCAAGAUUCUUCACUAAAAUGCGUUCUCCGUGUGUAUCGAAGGUCACUACUGUUCGGAGAAAAUGUACUAUAAAUGCAUCUGAACUCCAAUAUCAGUAACCGCGAGGCUGAAUAAAAUCUAAAAUAAAGUUUAAGGUAAGAACAAAGUUCAUUUACACAUCCCCAGCCUCUAUAAGCUCCGAGGGGGGCUAAUAGGGAAAAUAAGGUAUUCUUCGAUUCGAGUUCGCGUUAUCGGUGUCUUAAUGGGAAACGUCUGUUGAAGCAUUCGUAGUUCCAUGCCAUUCUCCUCAAACAAUUUCUUCUGAGACAACGUGUCCAUAUCUAUUUCAGAAGAAAGAUGGCCACGUGUCAUUAAGAAUGGACAUGUAUAUGGACUACAAUAUAAUUUGUUGAGGAGAAAAUCGAUAGCUGCUAUCAAUAGCAACAGAGGUAACAUAGUUUAAUCAAAAGUCUCGUUACACUCUCGUGCAUGCUGCAUAUUGUUGAAGAAUGAUUUUACUCUUUGUUUUGUACGAACACCACGCGUAUUUUAUACAAAAUAUGCGUAAUGUUUCCACAAAACAGAAGAAUGACAGUAUAUCUCACGAUGCAAACAUACAUGCAUGGAACAUCUGAAGAAUAAUUUUUUUGUUCUCAGAAACUUCUGAAAUAUGGUAGACUUUCCAAUGACAGCUAGUUUAGUUUACACCUCAAUGUCUGCACGGAAUUUGUGCCAUGAUUGUAGCAAAUAACACUGAACAUUAUAGGUAUUUUAGAAUUAGUCCAAACUAGAUGAUAAUAUCACAAACCCUGCAUGAGACUAUUUUGCGAAGCUCAUUGUCUUGGGAAACGUCUGUUGAGGCAUUCGUAGUUCCAUGCCAUUCUCCCCAAACAAUUUCUUCUGAGACAACAUGUCCAUAUCUAUUUUAGAAGAAACAUGGCUAAUUCAUGUGGACGAUGAAAUACAUAGUAGAUAAACACUGCUAUAUCUUACUUGUUAAAAACUGGACACGUGUCAUUAAGAAUGGACAUGAAUAAGGACUGCAGUAUAAUUUUGAGGGAGAAAUCGAUAGCCGGACGGAAUGGAUCCGAAUACAGGAUAUAGGAGAAAUGGUUAUCCUGGAUUUGUCUAUUAUUUGUCAGAG
Non-coding RNA from Paramuricea clavata, 1219 nucleotides. The record is from the annotation of a GenBank genome assembly. NCBI's taxonomy places the organism in Eukaryota, Metazoa, Cnidaria, Anthozoa, Malacalcyonacea, Plexauridae.